GGCGGGACGCGGAAGUGGAGGGCUGUGGCCUGAGGGGCGUUGACAGGCCGCCCGGCUGGAGCGCGCUGGGCCGAGGACACGGGAUCUGAGAUGCGGGGAGCGACGCACGCGGGCUCCUGGCCCCUGAGCCACGCCGAGGAGUCGUCAGGAGCAUCUCGGGACGAGGAAGGUGCGUGCAGAGUUUAAGGUUCCAGGCUCCGGAGUGACCUCUAUAUUCCUGGCUCCACCUUCUGGCCUCCUGACAUGUUGAGCAAAUGAUCUAAGUCCCCCGAACCUCGGUUAUGUCGCUGUGCGACGGGGAUCAUAAUAGCAUAUGCCCCAUAAGAUGGUUGAGAGAAUUAAAUGAUGUCUCUGCAGUGGGUACCCAGCCAGACUCCUGUCAUGGCCAAGAACUGAUAAGUUAUCAUUCGUGUCUGAUUAGGAGGGCAGGUUUCAGCACUCCUCCUUUCUUCCGGUUUUGGUGUUGGAGUUCUGCAACUAACAGGAAAAAGGAAAAAGAUUCGGCAUUUGAAAGAGAAGAAAUAGGUAACUGGGUUCUAGGAGGGUAAUUUCUCUGUCUUCAGUGAGAAGGUGAUAGGUGGUCAUGUGGGUCAUCUCGGCUAGCAUUGCCGGGCACGGGGGUACCGAGAAGAAUGAGACCCCCCGACUGUGUGAGAGCUGACACGGUACCAGUGGGGCGAGAGGGGUUGUCAGUUAGCAAGGUCAGUGUGAUGGGGGUGAUGUAGAAAGUGCUUCAGAAGCCCAGGUGAGGUAGCAGUUCUGUGUGGUUGGUCAGGGAAGGCUUCGGAGAUUUAAACUUGGUGCUCAGUUGGAGGAACAGUGGAUUUUUCCUGCAAACAAGGAAGGGAAAGGAUAUUCCCUGAAGAGGUAAACAGCAUUAAAUACUAUGUUAAAAGUUUUCAAAA
Long non-coding RNA from Lagenorhynchus albirostris (white-beaked dolphin), 905 nucleotides. RefSeq lists it as uncharacterized. The record is from RefSeq and is a predicted model, not a curated record. The transcript has 2 exons. NCBI's taxonomy places the organism in Eukaryota, Metazoa, Chordata, Mammalia, Artiodactyla, Delphinidae.